This 686-nucleotide long non-coding RNA is filed under the name Monodelphis domestica (gray short-tailed opossum). Its description in RNAcentral is "lncRNA (ENSMODG00000033463.2)". The record is from RNAcentral. Lineage: Eukaryota; Metazoa; Chordata; Mammalia; Didelphimorphia; Didelphidae.
GGGAGUUAUUGAGUUUAACAGUCACUCCUUACCUGGCUUUUCUCUAAGCUAGAAAGGGGGACUUUUGUUCUAUCAUCUUCUGGGAAUAGACUAAUCUUGAGGAAAGAUUAGGAAAGUCCUGGGUGUGGAGAACUGCCUUGGAUAUCUGUCUUUCCCUGAAGUUCUGAGACCAGUCUGGCUGAGACAACUUUGUUAAGGGUGAAAGAGAUUCAUUUGGGACUUUAUUUCUCUUUCCAGAAGAGAAGAGAUGGCCAAACCAUUAUGACUCAUUUCACAGAACAAGGAUUGAAGCAUAUGGAAAGUAAUUACAUUCAAAAUAUGCUAGAAAGUGAUUUCAUGAAUAAAGAUACAUCCCUCUCUACUCAAACUGACAGGCAGAGGCAAAAGAGCCAAAACAGAAGAGAAAAGAAGGAAUAACAUAGCAAGCCUCGUUCUGGAAAGAGAAAAGUUUCCUAGUCAGUCUUCUCUCUUCAAAAAGUGGAAAAACUGCAAUGGAGCAGACACACUGGAAGUUAUGUAUAUUCACAUAUAAUCUGAAAGGAAAAGGAAAACAAGUCUCAGAAGAUCCUUCCCGAGAAGGUAUUAGAUAUUGAGUUAUUCAACUAGUAAACUUAUUGUUAGGGACUUUCCCCAUACCCUCGUAACCUCUCUUUUUGGAAAAAAUAAAAUACACUACCAUUUACUCA